This 644-nucleotide long non-coding RNA is filed under the name Zea mays. RNAcentral's name for it is "long non-coding RNA (ZMAY_LNC004687)". The record is from RNAcentral. Lineage: Eukaryota; Viridiplantae; Streptophyta; Magnoliopsida; Poales; Poaceae.
CAGCAAGCAAAAAUUCCCCAAUCCUCUCGUCUCCGCGGCGAAGAUGUCGGGGCGCGGCAAGGGCGGCAAGGGCCUGGGCAAGGGCGGCGCGAAGCGUCACCGGAAGGUGCUGCGCGACAACAUCCAGGGGAUCACGAAGCCGGCGAUCCGGAGGCUGGCGCGGCGGGGCGGCGUGAAGCGCAUCUCGGGGCUCAUCUACGAGGAGACCCGCGGCGUGCUCAAGAUCUUCCUGGAGAACGUCAUCCGCGACGCCGUCACCUACACUGAGCACGCUCGCCGUAAGACCGUCACCGCCAUGGACGUCGUCUACGCGCUUAAGCGCCAGGGCCGUACCCUCUACGGCUUCGGCGGCUAGGCCUGCCGCCCCGCGCCUCGCCGUCGCUGCGGUUCUGGUGUUGCUGCAGUUCGCAAGUUGUUUGUGUGGGGGAAAUUUGCUAGAUACUGUAGAACUGCAGUGCGGUAUGCUGCACAUGGUGUGUUUGUCUGAAGAAAUGUUGUCAUUGCUGGCUUGCUCUGGACUCAAACAUGCUCCAUUUUGUGUUCACUGUGCUUUCGUUUGGACAAAGCGAUCCAUUUCACUCUUUUUUGCUGAAUUCAGUUCAGUUAAAAACUAGUCAUGAUAUGCACUACGCACAUUGCAUCUU